This 1018-nucleotide ribosomal RNA is filed under the name uncultured marine bacterium. RNAcentral's name for it is "bacterial SSU rRNA". It matches the Rfam family "Bacterial small subunit ribosomal RNA", at positions 64 to 1094 of the family's 1533-position model. The record is from RNAcentral.
GAGCUUUUCAGUAGUUUACUACAGAAAAUGACUGAGCGGCGAACGGGUGAGUAACGCGUGAGCAAUCUACCUUAGUUACUGGGAUAGCCCGAGGAAACUCGGAUUAAUACCGGAUAUUCUUAUUUUUUCACAUGAAGUUUUAAGGAAAGGUCAGCCGAACUAAGAUGAGCUCGCGUUCUAUCAGCUAGUUGGUGGGGUAAAAGCCUACCAAGGCUACGACGGAUAGCUGGUCUGAGAGGACGAUCAGCCACACUGGGACUGAGACACGGCCCAGACUCCUACGGGAGGCUGCAGCAGGGAAUAUUGCGCAAUGAGCGAAAGCUUGACGCAGCGACACCGCGUGUGGGAUGACGGUUCUAGGAUUGUAAACCACUUUCAGGAGGGAAGAAAAUGACGGUACCUCCACAAGAAGACCCGGCCAACUACGUGCCAGCAGCCGCGGUAAUACGUAGGGGUCAAGCGUUGUCCGGAUUUAUUGGGCGUAAAGAGCUCGUAGGCGGUUCAACAAGUCGGUCGUAAAAGUUUAGGGCUCAACCCUAAAAUGUCGAUCGAUACUGUUGUGACUAGGAUACGGUAGAGGUGAAUGGAAUUCCGAGUGUAGCGGUGAAAUGCGUAGAUAUUCGGAGGAACACCAAUUGCGAAGGCAGUUCACUGGACCGUGAUCGACGCUGAGGAGCGAAAGCUAGGGGAGCAAACAGGAUUAGAUACCCUGGUAGUCCUAGCUGUAAACGAUGGAUACUAGAUGUAGGAACUGGAUUGACGGUUUCUGUAUCGUAGCUAACGCGUUAAGUAUCCCGCCUGGGGAGUACGGUCGCAAGACUAAAACUCAAAGGAAUUGACGGGACCCCGCACAAGCGGCGGAGCAUGCGGCUUAAUUCGAUGAUACCCGUAGAACCUUACCUGGACUUGACAUAUAGGGAAAAGCUAAAGAAAUUUAGUGUGCGUAAGCGCCCUAUACAGGUGGUGCAUGGCUGUCGUCAGCUCGUGUCGUGAGAUGUUUGGGUUAAGUCCCGCAACG